Molecule: ribosomal RNA, 959 nt
Filed under: Escherichia coli
Lineage: Bacteria; Pseudomonadati; Pseudomonadota; Gammaproteobacteria; Enterobacterales; Enterobacteriaceae
Description: partial 23S ribosomal RNA
Rfam family: Bacterial large subunit ribosomal RNA
Source: RNAcentral
AAAUACUCCUGACUGACCGAUAGUGAACCAGUACCGUGAGGGAAAGGCGAAAAGAACCCCGGCGAGGGGAGUGAAAAAGAACCUGAAACCGUGUACGUACAAGCAGUGGGAGCACGCUUAGGCGUGUGACUGCGUACCUUUUGUAUAAUGGGUCAGCGACUUAUAUUCUGUAGCAAGGUUAACCGAAUAGGGGAGCCGAAGGGAAACCGAGUCUUAACUGGGCGUUAAGUUGCAGGGUAUAGACCCGAAACCCGGUGAUCUAGCCAUGGGCAGGUUGAAGGUUGGGUAACACUAACUGGAGGACCGAACCGACUAAUGUUGAAAAAUUAGCGGAUGACUUGUGGCUGGGGGUGAAAGGCCAAUCAAACCGGGAGAUAGCUGGUUCUCCCCGAAAGCUAUUUAGGUAGCGCCUCGUGAAUUCAUCUCCGGGGGUAGAGCACUGUUUCGGCAAGGGGGUCAUCCCGACUUACCAACCCGAUGCAAACUGCGAAUACCGGAGAAUGUUAUCACGGGAGACACACGGCGGGUGCUAACGUCCGUCGUGAAGAGGGAAACAACCCAGACCGCCAGCUAAGGUCCCAAAGUCAUGGUUAAGUGGGAAACGAUGUGGGAAGGCCCAGACAGCCAGGAUGUUGGCUUAGAAGCAGCCAUCAUUUAAAGAAAGCGUAAUAGCUCACUGGUCGAGUCGGCCUGCGCGGAAGAUGUAACGGGGCUAAACCAUGCACCGAAGCUGCGGCAGCGACGCUUAUGCGUUGUUGGGUAGGGGAGCGUUCUGUAAGCCUGUGAAGGUGUGCUGUGAGGCAUGCUGGAGGUAUCAGAAGUGCGAAUGCUGACAUAAGUAACGAUAAAGCGGGUGAAAAGCCCGCUCGCCGGAAGACCAAGGGUUCCUGUCCAACGUUAAUCGGGGCAGGGUGAGUCGACCCCUAAGGCGAGGCCGAAAGGCGUAGUCGAUGGGAAAC